AAUGAACGCUGGCGGCGCGCCUAAUACAUGCAAGUCGAGCGAGAAGACGUAGCAAUACGUUUGUAAAGCGGCGAGCGGGUGAGGAAUACAUGGGUAACCUACCCUCGAGUGGGGAAUAACUAGCCGAAAGGUUAGCUAAUACCGCGUACGCUCCUUGGACUUCGGUUCAGGGAGGAAAGCGAUACCGUGGGUAUCGCGCUCUUGGUUGGGCUCAUGUCCUAUCAGCUUGUUGGGAGGUAACGGCUCACCAAGGCUUCGACGGGUAGCUGGUCUGAGAGGACGAUCAGCCACACUGGCACUGCGACACGGGCCAGACUCCUACGGGAGGCAGCAGUAAGG
This 339-nucleotide ribosomal RNA is filed under the name uncultured bacterium. RNAcentral's name for it is "bacterial SSU rRNA". It matches the Rfam family "Bacterial small subunit ribosomal RNA", at positions 29 to 359 of the family's 1533-position model. The record is from RNAcentral.